CAGUAGCCGCGGUAAUACGGAGGGAGCUAGCGUUGUUCGGAAUUACUGGGCGUAAAGCGCACGUAGGCGGCUUUGUAAGUCAGAGGUGAAAGCCUGGAGCUCAACUCCAGAACUGCCUUUGAGACUGCAUCGCUUGAAUCCAGGAGAGGUGAGUGGAAUUCCGAGUGUAGAGGUGAAAUUCGUAGAUAUUCGGAAGAACACCAGUGGCGAAGGCGGCUCACUGGACUGGUAUUGACGCUGAGGUGCGAAAGCGUGGGGAGCAAACAGGAUUAGAGACCCCGGUAGUCCCUGUCUCUUAUAC
Molecule: ribosomal RNA, 301 nt
Filed under: uncultured bacterium
Lineage: Bacteria
Description: partial 16S ribosomal RNA
Rfam family: Bacterial small subunit ribosomal RNA
Source: RNAcentral